UGGGGAAUAUUGCGCAAUGGGCGGAAGCCUGACGCAGCGACGCCGCGUGAGGGAUGACGGCCUUCGGGUUGUAAACCUCUUUCAGUAGGGACGAAGCGUGAGUGACGGUACCUACAGAAGAAGCACCGGCCAACUACGUGCCAGCAGCCGCGGUAAGACGUAGGGUGCGAGCGUUGUCCGGAUUUAUUGGGCGUAAAGAGCUCGUAGGCGGCUCGUCGCGUCGGCUGUGAAAACCUGGGGCUUAACCUUGGGCUUGCAGUCGAUACGGGCGGGCUAGAGUUCGGUAGGGGAGACUGGAAUUCCUGGUGUAGCGGUGAAAUGCGCAGAUAUCAGGAGGAACACCGGUGGCGAAGGCGGGUCUCUGGGCCGAUACUGACGCUGAGGAGCGAAAGCGUGGGGAGCGAACAG
This 408-nucleotide ribosomal RNA is filed under the name uncultured bacterium. RNAcentral's name for it is "bacterial SSU rRNA". It matches the Rfam family "Bacterial small subunit ribosomal RNA", at positions 355 to 775 of the family's 1533-position model. The record is from RNAcentral.